This 873-nucleotide long non-coding RNA is filed under the name Homo sapiens (human). RNAcentral describes it as "POT1 antisense RNA 1". The record is from RNAcentral. Lineage: Eukaryota; Metazoa; Chordata; Mammalia; Primates; Hominidae.
GCCCGCGGUGGACCAGCUGCGUAACGGUUCACACACUGAUGGCGCCUGGAGGUUUGGCGAAAUACUGACAGGAUGCGACGUCAACGGGAGCGCAGGGCCAAGAUACCCUUUAUAUCAAACCGUCUAUCCUGGAGCAGAAAAAUCCUGUCUUCAUUGCUAUAGCUACAGAUUCAGAAAUGAGCAUGUAACAAAUUCAGGCCAAAGAGAGGCAAUGGAAAUCAGAGAAACACUGUUCCUGAAAGCUUCUGUCACUCAAGAAUCCAUGAAACAUUCAUGAACUUCACAUCAGCCAAGCCCAGAAAAUAUGGGUUUAAGGUUUGCCUAUAUGUCCAAUACAAGAGAAAAAAGAACAUUCCACUUCUUUAGAAGGUUCUACUUUGAUCUCCUGAUUCCAGUUGUGAAAAAAAAUUGUGCCUAAAGAAUAUAGUCCCUUUAUAGAAUUGUUUUGAAACCUACCACAGGUAUUUCUACACAGAUUUUAAUGCAACUUGUUACACAAGAUGAACCCAAACAUAUUUGACUUUUUAUUUUCAGAAAAGCUUAAUACAUAGUUUUGAAUAUGGAUUGUCCCACAGGAUAAAUGCAUGAAAAAAGUUGGAAAAGAGAAAUUGAAUUACAUCCUAAUUGUAGUGUUUUCUCAGGCAGAUCAAUUUUAGAAAGAGAACAUUGACUUGGAAAACUGAAGAGUAAUUAUUCUAAAACGGUUGUAACAGUUUACUCCUUUUAUGUUUGCAAACUUCCAGGAUUAGUGAGUUGCAUAAAGUCACAUAAUUUAUUGCGUUGGUGCAAAAGUAAUUGUGGUUUUUGCCAUUAACAAAACCGCAAUUACUUUUGCAUCAGCCUAAUAUAAGUGAAUAAAUUAAUAUUAGAACA